RNAcentral lists this ribosomal RNA (495 nucleotides) under uncultured bacterium. RNAcentral describes it as "partial 16S ribosomal RNA". It matches the Rfam family "Bacterial small subunit ribosomal RNA", at positions 28 to 506 of the family's 1533-position model. The record is from RNAcentral.
GAUGAACGCUGGCGGCGUGCCUAAUACAUGCAAGUCGAGCGAACAGACGAGGAGCUUGCUCCUCUGACGUUAGCGGCGGACGGGUGAGUAACACGUGGAUAACCUACCUAUAAGACUGGGAUAACUUCGGGAAACCGGAGCUAAUACCGGAUAAUAUAUUGAACCGCAUGGUUCAAUAGUGAAAGACGGUUUUGCUGUCACUUAUAGAUGGAUCCGCGCCGCAUUAGCUAGUUGGUAAGGUAACGGCUUACCAAGGCAACGAUGCGUAGCCGACCUGAGAGGGGGUCCGGCCACACUGAAAUGGAGACACGGCCCAGACCCCUACGGGGGGCGGAAGUAGGAAAUCUUCCGAAAUGGGCGAAAGCUGGACGGAGAAAGGCCGCGUGAGUGAGGAAGGUCUCCGGUUGGUAAACCUCUGUAUUAGGGAAGAACAAAUGUGUAAGUAACUAUGCACGUCUUGACGGUACCUAAUCAGAAAGCCACGGCUAACUACGU